Molecule: ribosomal RNA, 229 nt
Filed under: uncultured bacterium
Lineage: Bacteria
Description: partial 16S ribosomal RNA
Rfam family: Bacterial small subunit ribosomal RNA
Source: RNAcentral
UCCGUAGGCGGGCGACUAAGUCAGAGGUGAAAUCCCACAGCUUAACUGUGGAACUGCCUUUGAUACUGGUUGUCUUGAGUUAUAGUGAAGUAGAUAGAAUAUGUAGUGUAGCGGUGAAAUGCUUAGAUAUUACAUAGAAUUCCGAUUGCGAAGGCAGUCUACUAACUAUAUACUGACGCUAAUGGACGAAAGCGUGGGGAGCGAACAGGAUUAGAUACCCUGGUAGUCC